AUAUGUAACGUGGCUGGCAGAAUAAGCACUCAGCUGUGGUUUUUAUGGUGAAUUUUGUGUUUCAUAUGUCUUCUCUCCAAACUGUUUUUUAAAUUUGCACGAGUAAACCAAGAGAAUUAGCUCUACGUCCAUUCAGAUCCAACGGCGACUUCUAGUGGUGACUUCUACAAAGAUGGGCUUGACUGCAUUUCUUCCUCUACAACUUAUUUGUUAAAAUGAUUUUGUUCUUUAUUAGGUGAAUCUUCUGUUAGUCAAUGAACAACUCAGGUGACUAUAAAAUAAGUUUAAAUCUAAAAAACAUCACUCUUAUUAGUUUUGCUAGUUUGACUUGAACCACUUUGGUAGUGUGUUUCAUUCUGCCAUCUACUGGCCACAACACUGCUGGCAUGAUUUAACAACGCACAACAAUAGUCUGUGGCACAGUACACAAUAGCUUUAAUUUAAAGAAGAAAUACAUUGCAUCCAGCAACGUUACUUUAGUCUUAAUACUUCAGUUUAUUACUGCAGUAUGUUCCGACUUUGCUGUGGUCAGUGAUGGCAGUCUACUUUUAAGCUCAUAGUCCAUUAACAUGUUGGCGUAGUUAAUACUCUUUUUUUCCACUCCAGUUUACCCAUGCGUAGUACAUAUUACUAGGUGUCUGUGUACAACUUCCAAUGGAGUAAGUUGGGAAAACCACACAUUUUCAUGACCUCUACUAACAAUAGUAAUAUUUUACAUGUGUUCCUGCUGUGAUCUUUGACAGUGUGGGCAAGGUUUGUACCUUAUCUGAUCUCUCCCAAAAACAACAUUACAAAUCCCAGCAAGAGUUAGGCAUUCUAAUGUGGAGUAUGAACAAACUGUAUGCCGCGGCUCAAUUGAAUGUUAAGAAGAAGUUCUGAAGAAAAGUAGCUUCAGUUUACUCUCUCAUAUGUUUUCUGCAGAUGAGCUGCAGGAAGGGUAUUGAGUAUUUGAUAAAGUAUACCUUGUGUCUGGAGCUGGGAGAAAAUAGUUCAUUUUCACAAUGUGAAUUGAGCUGUCCAAGAUCAUACCAUGAACGUGUACAUUCUGUUUAAGGGUGAAUUUCCCAAUUCACAUUUCCAGAAUCUAAAUACAUGUGUUAUAUAAAGUCCCAAUAGGAGUAUUUAUUCAUGAGUACAUUUAGACUUCUGUGCAGGUACUGUAUGUGUUUGAAUCCAUAUAAAGUUAAGCUCUCAUUACAACAAUGUAUGGAUUUGGCUCACUGUCAGCAAGCUGUUAACAGCUUCUGAUGCACUGUUACAUAGAGAAAUACACAUAAGAGCAGUGGCAGUAGAGCUGAGGUUGAUAUUUUAAACAUAAAUGUGAGAUGUACCACUUUUAUUUAUUGUUUAUGUCUUAAACAUUGAAGAA
Long non-coding RNA from Sander lucioperca (pikeperch), 1369 nucleotides. RefSeq lists it as uncharacterized. NCBI's taxonomy places the organism in Eukaryota, Metazoa, Chordata, Actinopteri, Perciformes, Percidae. The record is from RefSeq and is a predicted model, not a curated record. The transcript is spliced from 2 exons.